This 505-nucleotide ribosomal RNA is filed under the name uncultured Gammaproteobacteria bacterium. RNAcentral's name for it is "bacterial SSU rRNA". It matches the Rfam family "Bacterial small subunit ribosomal RNA", at positions 235 to 732 of the family's 1533-position model. Lineage: Bacteria; Pseudomonadati; Pseudomonadota; Gammaproteobacteria. The record is from RNAcentral.
AAGGGAUAAGCUAGUUAGUGGGAUAACGGCUCACUUAGGCGACGAUCCCUAGCUGGUCUGAGAGGAUGACCAGCCACAUGGGAACUGAGACACGGUCCAGACUCCUACGGGAGGCAGCAGUGGGGAAUAUUGCACAAUGGGCGCAAGCCUGAUGCAGCCAUGCCGCGUGUAUGAAGAAGGCCUUCGGGUUGUAAAGUACUUUCAGCGGGGAGGAAGGGAGUAAAGUUAAUGCCUUUGCUCAUUGACGUUACCCGCAGAAGAAGCACCGGCUAACUCCGUGCCAGCAGCCGCGGUAAUACGGAGGGUGCAAGCGUUAAUCGGAAUUACUGGGCGUAAAGCGCACGCAGGCGGUUUGUUAAGUCAGAUGUGAAAUCCCCGGGCUCAACCUGGGAACUGCAUCUGAUACUGGCAAGCUUGAGUCUCGUAGAGGGGGGUAGAAUUCCAGGUUUAGCGGUGAAAUGCGUAGAGAUCUGGAGGAAUACCGGUGGCGAAGGCGGCCCCCUGG